RNAcentral lists this ribosomal RNA (545 nucleotides) under uncultured freshwater bacterium. RNAcentral describes it as "bacterial SSU rRNA". It matches the Rfam family "Bacterial small subunit ribosomal RNA", at positions 8 to 569 of the family's 1533-position model. The record is from RNAcentral.
AGAGUUUGAUCCUGGCUCAGAAUGAACGCUGGCGGCGUGCCUAAAACAUGCAAGUCGAACGAGAAAGUAGCAAUAUGAGUAAAGUGGCGCACGGGUGAGUAAUACUUGGAUAAUGCGCCUCCUCGCUGGGGAUAACUAGGCGAAAGCUUGGCUAAUACCGAAUAGUUCGAUUGAGACUCUGGUCUUGAUCGAUAAAGCCGUAAGGCGCGGGGAGAGUAGUUCAAGUCCCAUCAGCUAGUUGGUAGGGUAAUGGCCUACCAAGGCUACGAUGGGUAGCUGGUCUGAGAGGACGAUCAGCCACACUGGUACUGGAACACGGACCAGACUCCUACGGGAGGCAGCAGUUAGGAAUUUUGCGCAAUGGGGGAAACCCUGACGCAGCAACGCCGCGUGAAGGAUGAAGGCCUUUGGGUUGAAAACUUCUUUUAGCAGGAAAGAAAAAAAUGACGGUACCUGCAGAAAAAGCACCGGCUAACUCUGAGCCAACAGACGUGGUAAUACAGUAGGGUGCAAGCGUUAUUCGGAAUUACUGGUCGUAAAGAGCG